GCAGGAGGCAAGGGCUAGGCCGCCCGUACAGGGCUCGGGGAAGGGCUGGAACCCAGGAAGCCAGGCCAUCCUGACGCCUGCUGGCUCCACAGCCCACGCCCAUCGGCGCCGUGCACUCCGACCUGCCCUCCCAGCCCCCACAUCGGGACAAAGUCCAGCCCCACAGCAAAAACCAGGCGCUGAACUCCACCAAUGGAGAGCUGAAUGCGGACGACCCCACUGCAGGGCAUUCCAACGCUCCCAUCACAGCCCCGGCAGAGGUUGAGGUGGCUGAUGACACCAAGUGCUGCUGUUUCUUCAAGAGGAGGAAGAGAAAAUCACUGCAGCGGCACAAGUGACCCAGGCGCUCUUGGCAUGGGACUGUCCUCGAUGUUGCCCUCGGGUCAGCUUGUCCCCGAGGCCAUGGGCCACCUACAGGCCGGCCAGCGACUAGCUGCAGCCCCAGUUAGACUGCAGGGCCGCCUGGCCCAGACGUGGGUCCCUUCCUUCACGUAAGACUUUGGCCGAAAUUUCUACACCUGUGUCUAGUCCUCUCCUCCAAGAGCAUUAACUAUUUAAACAAGAAACAAAGGAACCCAGAGGCCCGCUGCCCUCCCCGUCUGCCGAGUGAGUAGCGAGACCGGGCUGGAUGCUGCGCCGCCCGUUAGCCUCAUGAAGUCCAUUUUGUCUCCCUUGAUCCAAAGGCCAUUUCCUCGAGGGGGCAGGGGCAGGGGCAGGGCCAGGCCCAGCCCUGGAGGCGCUGCCCACGAGGGGACCCUGGCACUGCUGUGGGAUGAGACCGGCUCGGUCCAACCCCAGACCAAAGGGGAAGGCGGGGCGGGGCGCAGUCCGGCUGGAGCCAGCCCCCCAACCAAAAUGCUGCACCAAAGCUCGGCUGGAGGCAGCCCUGUGCCAGAGGGUGCACCUGCUCCCGGAGACACCCCGGCCCCUGGGUGGGUGUCCACUGCCCCUGCCUGGGAUCUGGGCCGGCUGGGCCCUCACUGCGCCAGCUGCAGCUGGGGCUUCUGGUCUCGCGCCCGCCAGUGGGGCACAGCUGCGGGAGACAGAUCGCUUAAAGCCCUGCGACCCGCAGGUGUUGCUGGUUGCUGGUGGGGCAGCCGCAGAGCCAGGUGGCGACCCCUGCAGGACCCGGGAAACUGCUGGGUGGGCGAGGUGCCCACUUCCAAGGUGGUGGUCAUUCAGGCGUAGUUCUUGCUUUACAAAGUGUACAGAAAUGGCAUUUACGUUUCUCUGACGCUUCCUUGAAGCCAUAGAAUUUAGGGGCUUUUUUAAGAAAAUUAAAAAAAAAAAAUCACU
RNAcentral lists this long non-coding RNA (1296 nucleotides) under Heterocephalus glaber (naked mole-rat). RNAcentral describes it as "lncRNA (ENSHGLG00100038971.1)". The record is from RNAcentral. Lineage: Eukaryota; Metazoa; Chordata; Mammalia; Rodentia; Bathyergidae.